This is a long non-coding RNA of Athalia rosae (coleseed sawfly), 723 nucleotides long. RefSeq lists it as uncharacterized. The transcript is spliced from 2 exons. The record is from RefSeq and is a predicted model, not a curated record. NCBI's taxonomy places the organism in Eukaryota, Metazoa, Arthropoda, Insecta, Hymenoptera, Athaliidae.
AGUCAACUCACUUAACCCCUAGGCUAACCAAAGUUCACAUGCGGCUCUCUCUCUCUCUCUCUCUCUUCGUCUACAAGCUGUAAAACGACUUGACGCAGCUACCGAUAUGUUUAUGAAUAUUACCGCGAACGGGGGUACGAUAUUCAAGCGAUGCAUUGCGAAUCCAAUUACUCGCAACAACCGGAAAACCAAUGAAAUAAAACGCUACGACGUACAUGCAGUUGUAAUAAUAGAAAAGGUAGAGCGAGCGAAAACUUUCCCCACUACAAUCGGAAUAGAUAACGACGAAAUGAUCUCGCUUCUAACUUAUUCAUGCAAAUGUGUAAUAGCGGACGGGCGUGAUGCAUGAUUUUUGCCUCCUCCCCGUCCCCCCCGUCUUCCUCCUCCCCCUCUUUGGAACGAUAAAAUUACGAGCGGAGCACGAAUUUCCGCUGACUAAAAAUCGCGGUGUGGUAUAGUUACGUAAACGCGGCGAAGCUGAAUGUCUCGCGGUGCACGGAGACGAUCGACGAUCUUUUGGGAUUUCUUCGAGUCGUUCCGAUCGCCCGGCGUCGGAAAAAAGGGCCGAAAAAUGAGAGGAAACUUUUCGGCUUCCGAAAUCCGGACUUCCCAGAUGAUUCACGUCGCUUCUCCUUCGUCGCGCGCCGCGCCAACGAACGCGUCUUGAAGUUUAUUACCGAAAGUUUUGGUUUAUUUUCGAGUAGUCGUUAUAAGGUGACUAAU